RNAcentral lists this long non-coding RNA (11245 nucleotides) under Zea mays. Its description in RNAcentral is "long non-coding RNA (ZMAY_LNC005152)". Lineage: Eukaryota; Viridiplantae; Streptophyta; Magnoliopsida; Poales; Poaceae. The record is from RNAcentral.
AUAAAUAGUCGAUAAGCAUGUAUAUUUUCUUCAAUAAUUACCUAGCAAUUGUUGUCGAUCGAUAGGAACAAAAAAAAUGUAUCUAAAUUUAGGUGUAGUAGCUAAGAAUUGAUAAUGGAUAGGAAGGAACAUAUAAGUGUAGCAUAAUAUUCAUGGGACAAACACUGUGUUCUCACAUUGUUACAUCUAAGUAGGUUGCUUAUCAAAGUAUAGCAACAAAAGAUGGUUGUCACAUAUUUACAUCUUGGUGACACAUGACUACAUAGUAGCAAAAGAUACUUUGUAGUUGCUGGUAUGAUAUUUAUUGAAUGGAGUGAUCAUGGAGUAUUGGUAGCAUCGCGGUCAUCCAAAUUACAGCUUAAACCAAGCUCCUUGCUUCUACAAUAGAGAAUUUGAGUUUUGUAAGACUAAAUGGUACAAAAUAAGAUAUUACUUUACUCGUAUGUAAGGAAAAAUGUGUUUUGGUACUUAUUGGCAAAUUGUAAGCAUGAUAGUGUAAUUUUUUAUUGGAGCAGUUUUUGGAAGUAUUAAUGCAUUAGAAAAAUAAUAGUUGUUUAGUAAGGAGGGACAAUAAGAUAUAUAGUUAUGUAAUAGAAGGAAAUCUGGUUUGCAAAAAACAAUAAAUAACUGAUGUAUGUCUCUUAUGUGUUUCGUACUGCUUUAUUACUUCAUGUUGCCGUAUUCCAACGGUGAGCACAGGUAGAAGCAAAGGUAAAGUUCUAGAAAGUAUAUAAUCAAAACUCCACAUCAACCAUGAACAAAAAAUUAGCCGAUAAAUAUUCUUUUAUCUCUAGAUGAAAUCAUAUAACUGAUUAUUAAGAGCUAGAGAUUCUCUUUACACAUAUUCACAAUGAAACUAAUAAUAAGAUGCAACUGUGACCCAUAAUUAAAUAAGCAAGAAACAUCGCAAGGUAAUUAUACCUGUGAUUCGUAUCAACCAUUAACUUACCAAGUUUUACCAUAAUUUACUGGAGCUGCAAUAUCACAAAUUUAGCACCCAAUUAUUUAGGUGAACAAUUAGGCCAUCAUAUGUGAUACAUAAUGAUAGUCGCCUAGAGGGGGGGGGUGAAUAGGGCGAAACUGAAAUUUACAAAUAUAAACACAACUGCAAGCCGGGUUAGCGUUAGUAAUAAAGAAAUGAGUCCGCGAGAGAGGGUGGAAAACAAAUCGCAACCAAAUGGAGAGUGUGACACACGGAUUUGUUUUACCGAGGUUCGGUUCUUGCAAACCUACUCCCCGUUGAGGAGGCCACAAAGGCCGGGUCUCUUUCAACCCUUCCCUCUCUCAAACGAUCCACGGAUCGAGUGAGCUUUCUUUUCUCAAUCACUUGGAACACAAAGUUCCUACAAGGAUCACCACAAGAUUGGUGUCUCUUGUCUCAAUUACAAGUGAGCUUGAUCACAAUGAAAGAAUCAAGAAAGCACGAUUAAAAAGCCAAGCAACAAGAGCGACAAAUGACACACGGAUCACUUUCUCUCUCAAGUCACUAAUCACUAAUGAUCUCUUUUCUCAAUUGUAAAACUUGGAGAGAUGGAGGCUUUGAAUGUGUCUUGGAAUGGAUUGCUAGCUCUUGUAUUGAAUGUUGAAGGUUGGAAUGCUUGGAUGAAGUGAAUGGAGGUGGUUGGGGUUGUAUUUAUAGCCACCAACCACUUCCUAGCCGUUGGGCCAUUCUGCUGAGCGCGGACGGUCCGCCCUCCUGGUGCGGACGGUCCGCCCCUGUAGAUCAACGGCUGAAAAUGCAACGGUCAGCAGUAACGGCUAUAUCAACGGCUAUAUUGCAUUUAAUGCGUCGUCAGAUGUCAGACAGAGCCAGUCGCGGACGGUCCGCCCGCCUGGUCCGGACGGUCCGCGAGGCCGCUAUAAUUCAUUUCUCCGAACCCGUUACCUUCGGGUUUUUCGGUUGCUCACCUACCGGACGGUCCGCGCCAGAGGCCGGACGGUCCGCGCAAGGGCUCGGACGGUCUUUGCUUUUCCUCCGGACAGUCCAUAGCACAGACUUGGAUUUUUGCAUUGGUUCUGGCCGAGUGACAUCCUCGUGUCGCGGACGGUCCGCCGCAAGGGCCCGGACGGUCCGCGCUUGGCCUGUUUUUCCAAAAAGCUUCUCCUGUCCGGAAUAAUCUACGGUAUUCCGGACAGUCGAUUUAGUAUAGAUAUAGAUGAACCUUUGGCACCUGUAGAACAUAUAAUCUAGAGCAAACUAGUUAGUCCAAUUGUUUGUGUUGGGCGAUUCAACCACCAAAAUUAAUUAGGGACUAGGUGUAAGCCUAAUUCCCUUUCAAUCUCCCCCUUUUUGGUGAUUGAUGCCAACACAAACCAAAGCAAAUAUAGAAGUGCAUAAUUGAACUAGUUUGCAUAAUAUAAGUGCAAAGGUUGCUUGGAAUUGAGCCAAUAUAAAUACUUACAAGAUAUGCAUGGAUUGCUUUCAUUCUUAUAUAACAUUUUGGACCACGAUUGCACCACAUGUUUUGUUUUUGCAAAUUCUUUUGUAAAUCCAUUUCAAAGUUCUUUUGCAAAUAGUCAAAGGCAAAUGAAAAAGAUUUUUCAAAGCAUUUUCAAGCUUUGAAAUUUUCUCCCCCUGUUUCAAAUGCUUUUCCUUUGACUAAACAAAACUCCCCCUAAAUGAGAUCCUCCUCUUAGUGUUCAAGAGGGUUUUUGAUAUGUCAUUUUGAAAUACUACUUUCUCCCCCUUUUGAACACAAUAGGAUAUCAAUUGAAAAAUAUUCAACACUUAAGUUUUUGAAAUUGGUGGUGGUGCGGUCCUUUUGCUUUGGGCUCUUACUUUCUCCCCCUUUGGCAUGAAUCGCCAAAAACGGAAGCAUUAGAGCCCUCGAAGUGCAAUCUUCCCCUUUGGUCAUAAAUAAGUGAGUUAAGAUUAUACCAAAGACGAAGUCCUUUUGCGUUUGAGCUUUUACUCUCUCCCCCAAGGAUGAAGUCCUUUUCCUUGAUGCUCAUUUAUCCCCCAAGAGAGAGUUGCUCGGAGUGGUGGCGAAGUAUGAGUUACGGAGUGGAAGCCUUUGUCUUCGCCGAAGACUCCAAUUCCCUUUCAAUAUACCUAUGACUUGGUUUGAAAUCGACUUGAAAAACACAUUAGUCAUAGCAUAUAAAAGAGAUAUGAUCAAAGGUAUUUAAAUAAGCUAUGUGUGCAAGCUUAGCAAAAGAAAUUUCUAGAAUCAAGAAUAUUGAGCUCAUGCCUAAGUCUGGUAAAAGAUUGUUCAUCAAGUGGCUUGGUAAAGAUAUCGGCUAAUUGAUCUUUAGUAUUAAUGUAAGAAAUCUCGAUAUCCCCCUUUUGUUGGUGAUCCCUAAGAAAAUGAUACCGAAUGGCUAUGUGCUUAGUGCGGCUAUGCUCGACGGGAUUGUCGGCCAUUUUGAUUGCACUCUCAUUAUCACAUAGCAAAGGGACUUUGGUUAAUUUGUAACCGUAGUCCCGCAGGGUUUGCCUCAUCCAAAGCAAUUGCGCGCAACAAUGUCCUGCGGCAAUGUACUCGGCUUCGGCGGUGGAAAGAGCGACCGAAUUUUGCUUCUUUGAAGCCCAAGACACCAAGGAUCUUCCCAAGAACUGGCAAGUCCCCGAUGUGCUCUUCCUAUUAAUUUUGCACCCCGCCCAAUCGGCAUCCGAAUAACCAAGUAAAUCAAAUGUGGAUCCCCGAGGGUACCAAAGCCCAAACUUAGGUGUAUAAGCCAAAUAUCUCAAGAUUCGUUUUACGGCCGUAAGGUGUGAUUCCUUAGGGUCGGAUUGGAAUCUUGCACACAUGCAAACGGAAAGCAUAAUGUCCGGUCGAGAUGCACAUAAAUAAAGCAAUGAACCAAUCAUCGACCGGUAUACCUUUUGAUCCACGGACUUACCUCCCGUGUCGAGGUCGAGAUGCCCAUUUGUUCCCAUGGGUGUCUUGAUGGGUUUGGCAUCCUUCAUCCCAAACUUAGCAAGAAUGUCUUGAGUGUACUUCGUUUGGCUAAUGAAGGUGCCCUCUUGGAGUUGCUUGACUUGGAAUCCUAGAAAAUACUUCAACUCCCCCAUCAUCGACAUCUCGAAUUUAUGUGUCAUGAUCCUACUAAACUCUUCACACGUAGACUCGUUAGUAGACCCAAAUAUAAUAUCAUCAACAUAAAUUUGGCAUACAAACAAGUCUUUUUCAAGAGUUUUAGUGAAUAAAGUAGGAUCGGCCUUGCCGACUUUGAAGCCAUUUGCAAUAAGGAAAUCUCUUAGGCAUUCAUACCAUGCUCUUGGGGCUUGCUUGAGCCCAUAAAGCGCCUUAGAGAGCCUAUAGACAUGGUUAGGAUACUCACUGUCUUCAAAGCCGGGAGGUUGCUCAACAUAGACCUCUUCCUUGAUUGGUCCAUUGAGGAAGGCACUCUUCACGUCCAUUUGAUAAAGCUUGAAGCCAUGGUAAGUAGCAUAGGCUAAUAAUAUGCGAAUUGACUCAAGCCUAGCUACGGGUGCAUAGGUUUCACCAAAAUCCAAACCUUCGACUUGUGAAUACCCUUUGGCCACGAGUCGAGCUUUGUUCCUUGUCACCACACCAUGCUCAUCUUGCUUGUUGCGGAAGACCCAUUUGGUUCCUACAACAUUUUGGUUAGGACGUGGAACUAAAUGCCAUACCUCGUUCCUCGUGAAAUUGUUGAGCUCCUCUUGCAUCGCCACCACCCAAUCCGCAUCUUGAAGUGCUUCUUCUACCUUGUGUGGUUCAAUAGAGGAAACAAACGAGUAAUGUUCACAAAAAUGUGCAACCCGAGAUCUAGUAGUUACCCCCUUAUGAAUAUCGCCGAGGAUGGUGUCGACGGGGUGAUCUCGUUGGAUUGCUUGGUGGACUCUUGGGUGUGGCGGUCUUGGUUCUUCCUCAUCCUCCUUUUCUUGAUCAUUUGUAUCUCCCCCUUGAUCAUUGCUAUCAUCUUGAGGUGGCUCGUCUUCUUGAUUUUGCUCUUCAUCAUUUUGACCCUCAUCCUCAUUUUGAGUUGGUGGAGAUACUUGCAUGGAGGAGGAUGGUUGAUCUUGUGCAUUUGGGGGCUCUUCAGAUUCCCUAGGACACACAUCCCCAAUAGACAUGUUCCUAAGUGCUAUGCAUGGAGCCUGUUCUUCACCUACUUCAUCAAGAUCAACUUGCUCUACUUGAGAGCCAUUAGUUUCAUCGAACACAACGUCACAUGAGACUUCAACUAGUCCAGUGGACUUGUUAAAGACCCUAUAUGCCCUUGUGUUUGAAUCAUAACCAAGUAAAAAACCUUCUACAGUUUUAGGAGCAAAUUUAGAUUUUCUACCUCUUUUAAUAAGAAUGAAGCAUUUGCUACCAAAAACUCUAAAAUAUGAAAUGUUGGGCUUUUUACCGGUUAGGAGUUCAUAUGAUGUCUUCUUGAGGAUUCGGUGAAGAUAUAACCGGUUGAUGGCGUAGCAGGCGGUGUUGACCGCUUCGGCCCAAAACCGGUCCGGUGUCUUGUACUCAUCAAGCAUGGUUCUUGCCAUGUCCAAUAGAGUUCGAUUCUUCCUCUCCACUACACCGUUUUGUUGAGGCGUGUAGGGAGAAGAGAACUCAUGCUUGAUGCCCUCCUCCUCAAGGAAGCUUUCAAUUUGAGAGUUCUUGAACUCCGUCCCAUUGUCGCUUCUUAUUUUCUUGAUCCUUAAGCCGAACUCAUUUUGAGCUCGUCUCAAGAAUCCCUUUAAGGUCUCUUGGGUUUGAGAUUUUUCCUGUAAAAAGAAUACCCAAGUGAAGCGAGAAUAAUCAUCCACAAUAACUAGACAGUACUUACUCCCGCCGAUGCUUAUGUAAGCGAUCGGGCCGAAUAGAUCCAUGUGUAGGAGCUCCAGUGGCCUGUCAGUCGUCAUUAUGUUCUUGUGUGGAUGAUGAGCUCCAACUUGCUUCCCUGCUUGGCAUGCGCUACAAAUCCUGUCUUUCUCAAAAUGAACAUUGGUUAGUCCUAAAAUGUGCUCUCCCUUUAGAAGCUUAUGAAGAUUCUUCAUCCCAACAUGGGCUAGUCGGCGGUGCCAGAGCCAACCCAUGUUAGUCUUAGCAAUUAAACAUGUGUCGAGCUCAGCUCUAUCAAAAUCUACUAAGUAUAGCUGACCCUCUAACACACCCUUAAAUGCUAUUGAAUCAUCACUUCUUCUAAAGACAGUGACACCUAUAUCAGUAAAAAGACAGUUGUAGCCCAUUUGACAUAAUUGGGAAACAGAAAGCAAGUUGUAGUCUAAUGAAUCAACAAGAAAAACAUUGGAAAUGGAAUGGUCAGGUGAAAUAGCAAUUUUACCCAAACCUUUGACCAACCCUUGAUUUCCAUCCCCAAAUGUGAUAGCUCGUUGAGGAUCUUUGUUUUUCUCAUAUGAGGAGAACAUCCUUUUCUCCCCGGUCAUGUGGUUUGUGCACCCGCUGUCGAGUAUCCAACUUGAGCCCCCGGAUGCAUAAACCUACAAAACAAAUUUAGUUCUUUGUUUUAGGUACCCAAACGGUUUUGGGUCCUUUAGCAUUAGAUACAAGAACUUUGGGUACCCAAACACAAGUCUUGGAGCCUUUGUGUUUGCUCCCAACAAUUUUGGCAACUACCUUGCCAGAUUUGCUAGUCAACACAUAAGAUGCAUCAAAAGUUUUAAAUGAAAUGGCAUGAUCAUUUGAUGCAUUAGGAGUUUUCUUUCUAGGCAACUUGGCACGGGUUGGUUGCCUAGAGCUAGAUGUCUCACCCUUAUACAUAAAAGCAUGGUUAGGGACAGAGUGAGACUUCCUAGAGUGAAUUCUUCUAAUUUUGCUUUCGGGAUAACCGGCAGGGUACAAAAUGUAACCCUCGUUAUCCUGAGGCAUGGGAGCCUUGCCCUUAACAAAAUUAGACAAGUUCUUAGGAGGGGCAUUAAUUUUGACAUUGUCUCCCCUUUGAAAGCCAAUGCCGUCCUUAAUGCCCGGACGUCUCCCAUUAUAGAGCAUGCUUCUAGCCAUUUUAAAUUUUUCAUUUUCUAAGUCAUGCUCUCUAAUUUUAGCAUUAAGUUGUGCUAUGUGAUCAUUUUGUUUUUUAAUUAAGGCAAGGUGAUCAUGGAUAGCAUCAACAUUAAUAUCUCUACAUCUAGUGCAAAUGGACACAUGCUCAAUAGUAGAUGUAGAGGGUUUGCAAGACUUUAAUUCAAUAACCUUAGCAUGCAACAAAUCAUUCUUAGUUCUAAGGUCGGAAAUGGUAGCAUUGCAAACAUCAAAAUCCUUAGCCUUAGCAAUUAAUUUUUCAUUCUCAUUUCUAAGGCUAGCAAGAGAAAUGUUCAAUUUUUCAAUCCUAGCAAGCAAAUCAUCAUCAUUAUUUCUAGGAAUUGAAACAUUGCAAAUAUGAGAAUCAACCUUAGCUAACAAAUUUGCAUUCUCAUUCCUAAGGUUGUCUAUAGUCUCAUGGCAAGUACUUAGCUCACUAGACAAUUUUUCAUAUUUUUCCAUUGCUAGAGCAUAAGCAUUUUUAACCUUAACAUGCUUCUUAUUUUCCUUGAUUAGGAAGUCCUCUUGGGAGUCCAAGAGAUCAUCCUUUUCAUGGAUAGCACUAAUUAGCUCAUUUAAUUUUUCUUUUUGUUCCAUGUUAAGGUUGGCAAAAAGAAUACGCAAGUUAUCCUCCUCAUUUUUAUCAUCCUCAUCACUAGAUGUUUCAUUUUUAGUGGAGGACUUUGAUUUUACCUUCUUUUUGCCGUCCUUGGCCAUGAGGCACUUGUGGCCGACGUUGGGGAAGAGGAGGCCUUUGGUGAUGGCGAUGUUGGCGGCGUCCUCGUCGUCGGAGGAGUCGCUUGAGCUUUCGUCGGAGUCCCACUCCCGACAAACAUGGGCAUCGCCGCCCUUCUUCUUGUAGUACUUCUUCUUCUCCUUCCUCUUGCCCUUCUUGUCGUUGUCCCUGUCACUAUCACUUGAUAAUGGACAUUUAGCAAUAAAGUGACCGGGCUUACCACACUUGUAGCAAACCUUCUUGGAACGGGAUUUGUAGUCCUUCCCCUUCCGUUGCUUGAGGAUUUGCCGGAAGCUUUUGAUGAUUAGGGCCAUCUCCUCGUUGUCGAGCUUGGAGGCGUCAAUUGGUUGUCUACUUGGUGUAGACUCCUCCUUCUUCUCCUCCGUUGCCUUGAAAGCCACGGGUUGCGCCUCGGAUGUGGAAGGCUCAUCAAGCUCGUUGAUCUUCUUGGAGCCCUUAAUCAUGCAUUCAAAACUAACAAAAUUCCCGAUGACUUCCUCGGGGGUCAUUUGUGUAUAUCUAGGAUUGCCACGAAUUAAUUGUACUUGAGUAGGGUUAAGGAAAAUAAGGGCUCUCAGAAUAACCUUAACCACUUCGUGGUCAUCCCAUUUUGUGCUCCCGAGGUUGCGCACUUGGUUCACCAAGGUCUUGAGCCGGUUGUACAUGUCUUGUGGCUCCUCCCCUUGGCGAAGACGGAAGCGACCGAGCUCCCCCUCGAUCGUUUCCCGCUUGGUGAUCUUGGUGAGUUCAUCACCCUCAUGCGCUGUCUUGAGUAGGUCCCAAAUCUCCUUGGCGUUCUUCAACCCUUGUACUUUGUUGUAUUCCUCCUUGCUUAAAGAGGCAAGGAGAAUGGUUGUGGCUUGAGAGUUGAAGUGCUCGAUUUGGGCCACUUCGUCCGUGUCGUAGUCUUCAUCCCCUACCGAUGGUACCUGUACACCAUACUCAACAACAUCCCAUAAUCUUUUGUGGAGAGAGGUUAGAUGAAAUCGCAUCAAAUUACUCCACAUAGCAUAAUCUUCACCAUUAAAAGUUGGUGGUUUGCCUAAUGGGACGGAAAGUAAAGGUGUAUGUUUAGGAACGCGAGGGUAGCGUAGGGGGAUCUUACUAUACUUCUUACGCUCUUGGCGUUUAGAAGUGACGGACGCCGCGUCGGAGCCGGAGGUGGAGGUCGAUGAAGUGUCGGUCUCGUAGAAGACCACCUUCCUCAUCCUUUUGUGCUUGUCCCCACUUCGAUGCGGCUUGUGAGAAGAUUUUUCCUUCUUCUCCUUAUGGUGAGAAGAGGAAGAUCUUUUCUCCUUCCGCUUGGAGGAUUUCUUCUUCUUCUCUCUUCUCUUGGUGCGGGACUCUUCCGAUGAAGUGCUCCCUUGGCUUGUAGUGGGCUUGUCGUCGCCGGUCUCCAUCUCCCUCUUGGUGUGAUCUCCCGACAUCACUUCGAGCGGUUAGACUCUAAUGAAGCACCGGGCUCUGAUACCAAUUGAUAGUCGCCUAGAGGGGGGGGGUGAAUAGGGCGAAACUGAAAUUUACAAAUAUAAACACAACUGCAAGCCGGGUUAGCGUUAGUAAUAAAGAAAUGAGUCCGCGAGAGAGGGUGGAAAACAAAUCGCAACCAAAUGGAGAGUGUGACACACGGAUUUGUUUUACCGAGGUUCGGUUCUUGCAAACCUACUCCCCGUUGAGGAGGCCACAAAGGCCGGGUCUCUUUCAACCCUUCCCUCUCUCAAACGAUCCACGGAUCGAGUGAGCUUUCUUUUCUCAAUCACUUGGAACACAAAGUUCCUACAAGGAUCACCACAAGAUUGGUGUCUCUUGUCUCAAUUACAAGUGAGCUUGAUCACAAUGAAAGAAUCAAGAAAGCACGAUUAAAAAGCCAAGCAACAAGAGCGACAAAUGACACACGGAUCACUUUCUCUCUCAAGUCACUAAUCACUAAUGAUCUCUUUUCUCAAUUGUAAAACUUGGAGAGAUGGAGGCUUUGAAUGUGUCUUGGAAUGGAUUGCUAGCUCUUGUAUUGAAUGUUGAAGGUUGGAAUGCUUGGAUGAAGUGAAUGGAGGUGGUUGGGGUUGUAUUUAUAGCCACCAACCACUUCCUAGCCGUUGGGCCAUUCUGCUGAGCGCGGACGGUCCGCCCUCCUGGUGCGGACGGUCCGCCCCUGUAGAUCAACGGCUGAAAAUGCAACGGUCAGCAGUAACGGCUAUAUCAACGGCUAUAUUGCAUUUAAUGCGUCGUCAGAUGUCAGACAGAGCCAGUCGCGGACGGUCCGCCCGCCUGGUCCGGACGGUCCGCGAGGCCGCUAUAAUUCAUUUCUCCGAACCCGUUACCUUCGGGUUUUUCGGUUGCUCACCUACCGGACGGUCCGCGCCAGAGGCCGGACGGUCCGCGCAAGGGCUCGGACGGUCUUUGCUUUUCCUCCGGACAGUCCAUAGCACAGACUUGGAUUUUUGCAUUGGUUCUGGCCGAGUGACAUCCUCGUGUCGCGGACGGUCCGCCGCAAGGGCCCGGACGGUCCGCGCUUGGCCUGUUUUUCCAAAAAGCUUCUCCUGUCCGGAAUAAUCUACGGUAUUCCGGACAGUCGAUUUAGUAUAGAUAUAGAUGAACCUUUGGCACCUGUAGAACAUAUAAUCUAGAGCAAACUAGUUAGUCCAAUUGUUUGUGUUGGGCGAUUCAACCACCAAAAUUAAUUAGGGACUAGGUGUAAGCCUAAUUCCCUUUCACAUAAGACAUGUUUUAGUGAAUAUCCAGGAUGGCGCUAUUAAACAUCUCUCUAAACAAUAAAGCAAAGUGAACACAUCUAAGAAUGAUUUAUAAUCUGGAAUGCAGAGUAUGCAACAUACUCAUGGAUUUAUGAACUGACACAUACAAAUUAAAAUUUGUGAAUUUUUAAAAGUAUGGUAAUUCUAUGUUUAUAUUAAUGUAACUGUGGAUUCGCAUGGAAAAGCAUUGUUGUAGAGUGCUGUAAAUGCUUUUAUUGUUCUAGUAUUAUCUACUUUACUUUUUUAUUAGUACUUAGGUAAUUUAAAGAUGUUUGAUUGUUUUGAAUAGCAUUAGCUAGAGUUGGAGAAGCAAACCUUUUUGAAGGAGAUUCAACAAUAGCAAUUUUAGGAAUAGAGUCAACUAAACUGGUUGUUUCGUCUAUUAAGUAAAGAUGAAUGUAUGUAUCAAUGUUUUUAUUUAGAUAAAUUCAUUUUAAUAGUAUCAUCUAAGCUUUUGUUAGAGAAUUACCUAUGGCGCCUUUUGUUCUAAGAAGUCAUCCUUUUUCGAAGCAGAGGUCUCUGAGCUAAGAUAUGUUAGCACCGGUUUGGCCUGUGUGUAGCAAUGGUAAUGUAUUAGAGUAAAGAAAGCAAAAAAUGGGAAAAUAUAAAAAAAAUAAGACUGAAAGCGGUUUUUUCAUCUAAAAUAUAACUAUGCACAUUAUACAUUACAUGAGGUGGUGAGCUAGUCGUCAGAUUGAAAAAAUGAAUAGUCAUGCAAAGAAGAGAAACGUAAUAGUAGCAACAAUGGAAGAAAAUACAAAAAUCAGAGCACACCAUUAGAAAGGCAGAAAGGAAUGUGUAAUAAAAUGAACCUUGUUGGAGCAGCA